AGCUCAGUGGGUCGAGCGCUGGCUUUGAAAGCCACAGGUCGGUGGUUUCAAAUCCACC
RNAcentral lists this transfer RNA (58 nucleotides) under Phytophthora infestans T30-4. It matches the Rfam family "tRNA", at positions 9 to 63 of the family's 71-position model. Rfam says of the family: Transfer RNA (tRNA) molecules are approximately 80 nucleotides in length. Their secondary structure includes four short double-helical elements and three loops (D, anti-codon, and T loops). Further hydrogen bonds mediate the characteristic L-shaped molecular structure. tRNAs have two regions of fundamental functional importance: the anti-codon, which is responsible for specific mRNA codon recognition, and the 3' end, to which the tRNAs corresponding amino acid is attached (by aminoacyl-tRNA synthetases). tRNAs cope with the degeneracy of the genetic code in two manners: having more than one tRNA (with a specific anti-codon) for a particular amino acid; and 'wobble' base-pairing, i.e. permitting non-standard base-pairing at the 3rd anti-codon position. The record is from Rfam by way of RNAcentral. Lineage: Eukaryota; Oomycota; Peronosporomycetes; Peronosporales; Peronosporaceae.